CCUUACAAGGUUUUACUCUUUGUUCGAUUGAAUAAAAAAAAGUACUCGUUGCAAUGUUAUACUGUUAGGGCUCAACUGAGAAGUCUAACGUUGUUCCGAUUUUGGUUCUUGUGAACGUUGACAUCGAUUCGUUCCAUAUUUACACUCUUGGGGUAUAAUAGAAAACUUUUACUCCUUGUUCGAUAGAAUAAGAAAAAUUACUCGUUGCAAAGUUAUACUGUUAUGGCGCAACUGAGUAGUCUAAUGUUGUUCCGGUUUUGGUUCUUGUGAACGCUGACAUCGAUUCGUUCUAAAUUUACACUCUUGGGGCAUAAUAGAAAGCUUUUACUCCUUGUUCGAUAGAAUGAGAAAAAGUACUCGUUGCAAAGUUAUACUGUUAUGGCGCAACUGAGUAGUCUAAUUGUCACGCCCCGCCCCAAUCCCGCUACCAAUUUGGCGCGGUUCGGGCGCGGCGGGCGUGAGGCCGAACAGACAGAACCUCCCCUGUCCGCCCUAGGCUCACAACGAGAUUGUGUACAACAAGUCCCCAGGAACAAUCAACUUGUAAACAUACACAAUCAACCACGACGACGAGAGCACAAACAGUGCUAAUACAAGCGAGAGCAAGCGAUACGAGUAAGUAACAUACAAGUAUACAAAAGAGAGAUAAACUUAACUAUUUAAACAUAAAACUUUGAUACAUUAACCUCUUUUAACAUCAUUAAACUUUACCCAUUUAAUACAACUUGCAUUCUUUUUCAAAAUGUAAAUACAUACAUCCUCUCAAACCUCACCCUAUACAUCAUCUACUCUCAAAAUGUAAACAUAGGGUAGGACUAAUGCAAUAUAGGAAGCAAACUAUCAACCAACACCGCUAGGGCGCUACGCCCUUGCCGCGAUCCUCCCGCUCGCCGGGAAUACUCGAACUAGCACCUGCAACAUGGUGGGGUGAGAACUACGAAUAGUUCCCAGUGGGUUCGGCCGCCGACUCCACCGAUCUACCCACUAGGUCUAAGCAGGCAUAGAGAGAUAUAUAUGCAAGUAUAUAUAAAACUAUGCUAAACUGAAGGCAGGUAUGGAAACUGAGCAGGUAGCUAGUGUAAGUAAGUAAGUAAAGUAUGAACAUCUAACUAUGCCUCAAUCUGAUAUCAUGAAUGCAUGAACAAUAAACAAAGCUGGGUAAGAAGCUACUAUCAUGAACAACAAUAAGGCUAUGUAAACAGCUAUGCUGAACAACAGUAAUGAGUAUGACUCGAUAGGUAAUCAAAUCUCAAGGUGAACUCAAGGUUCACUAUCUCAUCUCACNUCGGUCUUGAGUCAAUUAACUGCGGAUAAUCCGCCCUCAGUCAGGCUCGAGGUGAAGGACGUCUCACAUGCACCUCAGUCUUAAAUCCUCUCGACUAUAGGUCUACUCACAGGGUGAGGAUAUCCGUCGAACCCCGGACCACAAGUCGCUCAAUGGACCCACG
Molecule: long non-coding RNA, 1448 nt
Filed under: Ananas comosus (pineapple)
Lineage: Eukaryota; Viridiplantae; Streptophyta; Magnoliopsida; Poales; Bromeliaceae
Description: long non-coding RNA (ACOM_LNC043687)
Source: RNAcentral